This 1243-nucleotide ribosomal RNA is filed under the name Escherichia coli. RNAcentral describes it as "partial 23S ribosomal RNA". It matches the Rfam family "Bacterial large subunit ribosomal RNA", at positions 911 to 2136 of the family's 2925-position model. The record is from RNAcentral. Lineage: Bacteria; Pseudomonadati; Pseudomonadota; Gammaproteobacteria; Enterobacterales; Enterobacteriaceae.
UGUUUCGGCAAGGGGGUCAUCCCGACUUACCAACCCGAUGCAAACUGCGAAUACCGGAGAAUGUUAUCACGGGAGACACACGGCGGGUGCUAACGUCCGUCGUGAAGAGGGAAACAACCCAGACCGCCAGCUAAGGUCCCAAAGUCAUGGUUAAGUGGGAAACGAUGUGGGAAGGCCCAGACAGCCAGGAUGUUGGCUUAGAAGCAGCCAUCAUUUAAAGAAAGCGUAAUAGCUCACUGGUCGAGUCGGCCUGCGCGGAAGAUGUAACGGGGCUAAACCAUGCACCGAAGCUGCGGCAGCGACGCUUAUGCGUUGUUGGGUAGGGGAGCGUUCUGUAAGCCUGUGAAGGUGUGCUGUGAGGCAUGCUGGAGGUAUCAGAAGUGCGAAUGCUGACAUAAGUAACGAUAAAGCGGGUGAAAAGCCCGCUCGCCGGAAGACCAAGGGUUCCUGUCCAACGUUAAUCGGGGCAGGGUGAGUCGACCCCUAAGGCGAGGCCGAAAGGCGUAGUCGAUGGGAAACAGGUUAAUAUUCCUGUACUUGGUGUUACUGCGAAGGGGGGACGGAGAAGGCUAUGUUGGCCGGGCGACGGUUGUCCCGGUUUAAGCGUGUAGGCUGGUUUUCCAGGCAAAUCCGGAAAAUCAAGGCUGAGGCGUGAUGACGAGGCACUACGGUGCUGAAGCAACAAAUGCCCUGCUUCCAGGAAAAGCCUCUAAGCAUCAGGUAACAUCAAAUCGUACCCCAAACCGACACAGGUGGUCAGGUAGAGAAUACCAAGGCGCUUGAGAGAACUCGGGUGAAGGAACUAGGCAAAAUGGUGCCGUAACUUCGGGAGAAGGCACGCUGAUAUGUAGGUGAAGUCCCUUGCGGAUGGAGCUGAAAUCAGUCGAAGAUACCAGCUGGCUGCAACUGUUUAUUAAAAACACAGCACUGUGCAAACACGAAAGUGGACGUAUACGGUGUGACGCCUGCCCGGUGCCGGAAGGUUAAUUGAUGGGGUCAGCGCAAGCGAAGCUCUUGAUCGAAGCCCCGGUAAACGGCGGCCGUAACUAUAACGGUCCUAAGGUAGCGAAAUUCCUUGUCGGGUAAGUUCCGACCUGCACGAAUGGCGUAAUGAUGGCCAGGCUGUCUCCACCCGAGACUCAGUGAAAUUGAACUCGCUGUGAAGAUGCAGUGUACCCGCGGCAAGACGGAAAGACCCCGUGAACCUUUACUAUAGCUUGACACUGAACAUUGAGCCUUGAUG